Gavialis gangeticus (Gharial) is the source of this 742-nucleotide long non-coding RNA. RefSeq lists it as uncharacterized. The transcript is spliced from 4 exons. The record is from RefSeq and is a predicted model, not a curated record. Lineage: Eukaryota; Metazoa; Chordata; Crocodylia; Gavialidae.
CCUCCACUCCCUCCUCCUCUCCUGCAUCUGGGCAUGGGAGGGGCAAUAGACAGAGAUUUGCCCUACAUAGGGGAGGUCACUGGGGUUUCUCUGACAUCUUCAAAGCCUCUCUGUGCUGAUCACCCAGCAUGUUCCUGAAAGUGAGAGAUAAAGGUGGACAGGAAUGUCUCUAACUGCAUGAUGUAUCCUCCUCCUGCAGCACUGAGGCCUGUGCCCUUCCUUGUGCUGACGCUCAGCAAAUUGUGUUUUGUGCUGAGGCUGGUGGAGACCAACCAGAUAAAGUAGGUGCUGUGUGGAGUUGUGGGAGGCUUUGCCCGGGGUGCCAACGUGAAAUUCCAGAUCAGGGAUAAGAGCCCAUUUCCCAGCUGUCGUGCAGCUGACUAUUGUUUCCACGUGUUCCCUUUCUUUAACCUCAUGAGCAGCAGCUGGCUGAGCAGCAAGGACCGGGAGCUGCAGCAGGAUGCGGUCAAGGCGCUGGGGCCUGCAAUGGGCCUCCUUCUCCACCAUGAGAGGCAUCCUGACACUGUUUUUGAGAGGCUCCUGUCUCCCGCAGCAGUACAAGGGAGGGCUUGACAAUCUUCAUGUCACCAUGAGUCUGAGCCAGAUCUUGAAGGUGGCCUAUGAUUUUCAGGUCCCCCUCCCCGAUGGGAAACUCAAGAGUAUCUGAGAUCUGGGAACAUAGCAGCCUGCUGGUCAGGACAAGAACAGUCCAGAAACACACGCAUCCCUAGGAAGGACCAAG